This 502-nucleotide ribosomal RNA is filed under the name uncultured bacterium. RNAcentral's name for it is "partial 16S ribosomal RNA". It matches the Rfam family "Bacterial small subunit ribosomal RNA", at positions 30 to 523 of the family's 1533-position model. The record is from RNAcentral.
AUUGAACGCUGGCGGCAGGCUUAACACAUGCAAGUCGAGCGGUAACAGGAGAAGCUUGCUUCUCGCUGACGAGCGGCGGACGGGUGAGUAAUACUUAGGAAUCUACCUAGUAGUGGGGGAUAGCUCGGGGAAACUCGAAUUAAUACCGCAUACGACCUACGGGAGAAAGGGGGCAACUUGUUGCUCUCGCUAUUAGAUGAGCCUAAGUCGGAUUAGCUAGAUGGUGGGGUAAAGGCCUACCAUGGCGACGAUCUGUAGCUGGUCUGAGAGGAUGAUCAGCCAAGCCGGGACUGAGACACGGCCCGGACUCCUACGGGAGGCAGCAGUGGGGAAUAUUGGACAAUGGGGGCAACCCUGAUCCAGCCAUGCCGCGUGUGUGAAGAAGGCCUUUUGGUUGUAAAGCACUUUAAGCAGUGAAGAAGACUCUAGGGUUAAUACCCUUAGACGAUGACAUUAGCUGCAGAAUAAGCACCGGCUAACUCUGUGCCAGCCGCCGCGGUAA